This 445-nucleotide ribosomal RNA is filed under the name uncultured bacterium. RNAcentral's name for it is "partial 16S ribosomal RNA". It matches the Rfam family "Bacterial small subunit ribosomal RNA", at positions 354 to 796 of the family's 1533-position model. The record is from RNAcentral.
GUGGGGAAUAUUGGUCAAUGGGCGCAAGCCUGAACCAGCCAUGCCGCGUGCAGGAAGACGGUCCUAUGGAUUGUAAACUGCUUUUAUUUGGGAAUAAACUCCGGUACGUGUACCGGCCUGAAGGUACCAAAUGAAUAAGCACCGGCUAACUCCGUGCCAGCAGCCGCGGUAAUACGGAGGGUGCAAGCGUUAUCCGGAAUCAUUGGGUUUAAAGGGUCCGCAGGCGGUCUUAUAAGUCAGUGGUGAAAGCCUACAGCUCAACUGUAGAACUGCCAUUGAUACUGUAGGACUUGAAUUCGAUCGAAGUGGGCGGAAUGUGACAUGUAGCGGUGAAAUGCUUAGAUAUGUCACAGAACACCGAUAGCGAAGGCAGCUCACUAGGUCUGGAUUGACGCUCAGGGACGAAAGCGUGGGGAGCAAACAGGAUUAGAAACCCUAGUAGUCC